RNAcentral lists this transfer RNA (67 nucleotides) under Calotomus japonicus (Japanese parrotfish). Its description in RNAcentral is "tRNA-Ser". Lineage: Eukaryota; Metazoa; Chordata; Actinopteri; Labriformes; Labridae. The record is from RNAcentral.
AGAGACUGCCCGCAUGCAAGAAAGACUGCUACUCUUUCUUUCUAGGUUGAAUUUCCUAGGAUCUCCU